GGCGAACGGGUGAGUAACACGUGGGCAAUCUGCCCUGCACUCUGGGACAAGCCCUGGAAACGGGGUCUAAUACCGGAUACAACCACUGACCGCAUGGUCGGGUGGUGGAAAGCUCCGGCGGUGCAGGAUGAGCCCGCGGCCUAUCAGCUUGUUGGUGAGGUAAUGGCUCACCAAGGCGACGACGGGUAGCCGGCCUGAGAGGGCGACCGGCCACACUGGGACUGAGACACGGCCCAGACUCCUACGGGAGGCAGCAGUGGGGAAUAUUGCACAAUGGGCGAAAGCCUGAUGCAGCGACGCCGCGUGAGGGAUGACGGCCUUCGGGUUGUAAACCUCUUUCAGCAGGGAAGAAGCGAAAGUGACGGUACCUGCAGAAGAAGCGCCGGCUAACUACGUGCCAGCAGCCGCGGUAAUACGUAGGGCGCAAGCGUUGUCCGGAAUUAUUGGGCGUAAAGAGCUCGUAGGCGGCUUGUCGCGUCGGUUGUGAAAGCCCGGGGCUUAACCCCGGGUCUGCAGUCGAUACGGGCAGGCUAGAGUUCGGUA
Molecule: ribosomal RNA, 543 nt
Filed under: Streptomyces spiralis
Lineage: Bacteria; Bacillati; Actinomycetota; Actinomycetes; Kitasatosporales; Streptomycetaceae
Description: bacterial SSU rRNA
Rfam family: Bacterial small subunit ribosomal RNA
Source: RNAcentral